UACGUAGGGCGCAAGCGUUAUCCGGAAUUAUCGGGCGUAAAGAGCUCGUAGGCGGUUGGUCGCGCCUGCCGUGAAAGUCCGGGGCUCAACUCCGGAUCUGCGGUGGGUACGGGCAGGCUAGAGUGUUGUAGGGGAGACUGGAAUUCCUGGUGUAGCGGUGAAAUGCGUAGAUAUCAGGAGGAACACCGAUGGCGAAGGCAGGUCUCUGGGCAUUAACUGACGCUGAGGAGCGAAAGCAUGGGGAGCGAACAGG
Molecule: unclassified non-coding RNA, 253 nt
Filed under: uncultured Micrococcaceae bacterium
Lineage: Bacteria; Bacillati; Actinomycetota; Actinomycetes; Micrococcales; Micrococcaceae
Description: contains 16S-23S intergenic spacer region
Rfam family: Bacterial small subunit ribosomal RNA
Source: RNAcentral